Camelus ferus (Wild Bactrian camel) is the source of this 73-nucleotide transfer RNA. It matches the Rfam family "tRNA". From Rfam's summary of the family: Transfer RNA (tRNA) molecules are approximately 80 nucleotides in length. The record is from Rfam. Lineage: Eukaryota; Metazoa; Chordata; Mammalia; Artiodactyla; Camelidae.
GAGGGUAUAGCUCAGUGAUUAAACUACGUGCUUAGCAUGCACAAGGUCCUGGGUUCAAUCCCCAGUACCUCCA